ACCUAAAAUCACUUCAUGAUUCUCAAGGCAGACAACAAUCAGAUCCGCAUGCAUUACCCUGUCUGUGAUCAACAAUCAGAUCCGCAUGCAUUACCCUGUCUGUGAUCAAUAAUCAGAUCCGCAGGCAUUACCCUGUCUGUGAUCAAUACCGGGAUUCCCUUUAUCAGCCCUAGUGAAUGCAUCACUUUCCCUCCGGCCGCAUUCACUAUGCAAGGAUCAUCCCCAGUUCCUGUCCGGAACAAACCUUUUCCAAUCAUUCUGGGGCUCACAAAGCUAUGUGUAGCUCCAGUGUCAAACAAUACGUGUGUUUCCACACCACCAAUACUCAAGGUCCCUUCACAAGUUCCAU
Molecule: long non-coding RNA, 349 nt
Filed under: Brassica napus (rape)
Lineage: Eukaryota; Viridiplantae; Streptophyta; Magnoliopsida; Brassicales; Brassicaceae
Description: long non-coding RNA (BNAP_LNC021054)
Source: RNAcentral